UACGGAAGGCAGCAGUGGGGAAUAUUGCACAAUGGGCGCAAGCCUGAUGCAGCCAUGCCGCGUGUAUGAAAAAGGCCUUCGGGUUGUAAAGUACUUUCAGUCGUGAGGAAGGUGUUAAGGUUAAUAACCUUAGCAAUUGACGUUAGCGACAGAAGAAGCAUCGGCUAACUCCGUGCCAGCAGCCGCGGUAAUACGGAGGGUGCGAGCGUUAAUCGGAAUUACUGGGCGUAAAGGGCACGCAGGCGGUUAAUUAAGUUGGAUGUGAAAUCCCCGGGCUUAACCUGGGAAUGGCAUUCAAGACUGGUUAGCUAGAGUCUUGUAGAGGGGGUAGAAUUCCAUGUGUAGCGGUGAAAUGCGUAGAGAUGUGGAGGAAUACCGGUGGCGAAGGCGGCCCCGUGGACAAAGACUGACGCUCAUGUGCGAAAGCGUGGGGAGCAAACGAGGAUUAGAUACC
RNAcentral lists this ribosomal RNA (454 nucleotides) under uncultured bacterium. RNAcentral describes it as "bacterial SSU rRNA". It matches the Rfam family "Bacterial small subunit ribosomal RNA", at positions 340 to 786 of the family's 1533-position model. The record is from RNAcentral.